UACGGGGGGGGUAAGCGUUGUUCGGAAUUACUGGGCGUAAAGGGCUCGUAGGCGGCCAACUAAGUCAUACGUGAAAUCCCUCAGCUUAACUGGGGAACUGCGUGUGAUACUGGAUGGCUUGGAUUUGGGAGAGGGAUGCGGAAUUCCAGGUGUAGCGGUGAAAUGCGUAGAUAUCUGGAGGAACACCGGUGGCGAAGGCGGGACUCUGGGCCGAUACUGACGCUGAGGAGCGAAAGCGUGGGGAGCAAACAGG
This 253-nucleotide ribosomal RNA is filed under the name uncultured bacterium. RNAcentral describes it as "partial 16S ribosomal RNA". It matches the Rfam family "Bacterial small subunit ribosomal RNA", at positions 524 to 776 of the family's 1533-position model. The record is from RNAcentral.